AUUCCAGCUCCAAUAGCGUAUAUUAAAGUUGUUGCAGUUAAAAAGCUCGUAGUUGGAUUUCUGGUCUGAUGCCCUGGCCCGCCUCAAUUUCGAGGUGAGUGCCGGCUGUGCGUCUACCAUCCUUCUAGAAAACGUUCCUACCCUUCACUGGGCCGGGUUCGCGAUCUAGAUCUUUUACUUUGAAAAAAUUAGAGUGUUUAAAGCAGGCUUUUGCUAUGAAUACAUUAGCAUGGAAUAAUAAUCUAGGACUUCGGUUCUAUUUUGUUGGUUUCUAGUACUGAAGUAAUGAUUGAUAGGGAUAGUUGGGGGUGCUAGUAUUGACCGGCCAGAGGUGAAAUUCUUGGAUUCGGUCAAGACUAACUUAUGCGAAAGCAUUCACCAAGGAUGUCUUCAUUG
RNAcentral lists this ribosomal RNA (396 nucleotides) under Ebriida sp. TAGIRI1 lineage. RNAcentral describes it as "partial small subunit ribosomal RNA". It matches the Rfam family "Eukaryotic small subunit ribosomal RNA", at positions 582 to 975 of the family's 1831-position model. Lineage: Eukaryota; Cercozoa; Thecofilosea. The record is from RNAcentral.